This is a long non-coding RNA of Momordica charantia (bitter melon), 836 nucleotides long. RefSeq lists it as uncharacterized. NCBI's taxonomy places the organism in Eukaryota, Viridiplantae, Streptophyta, Magnoliopsida, Cucurbitales, Cucurbitaceae. The record is from RefSeq and is a predicted model, not a curated record.
UUCAAUAGGCCAUCUGCAGGCUUAUUCAAUGAUCGAUAAACAUGCACAAAUGAGCAUGACUCAAAAAUAAUGGAAAGAAGUUGAAUGUCGUGAAGCCAGUCUCCAUCAGCACCCAAAGUUUUUGAAUCUCCUCGAAAAAGACAAAUUGCAUCAAGAGAGUUCAACUCAACGAUUAAGCGCGAACAAAUUACAAAGUGCACCAGUCAGAUACCUUCAAGGAUAGCAAGGAGUUCAGCCAGAAACAGAGGGUAUGGAAUCUGAAUGGAAACGGAAGGCGAUGCCUUAAUAAAACCAUAAAUACUCAAACUAGUGCCUCGGUCUCCAUUGCAAGAGGCAUCUGUGUUCAAUGGGAACAAACCAACAGGAGGCGAGCCCUAAGAUUUGGUCUCAAUCCUUCCAAAUCGACAAACAAAUGUUGGCAACAAUUUCAAGCUUUUCUUUUCUUMGAGCAUUCAAAAGCAUCUCCUAGUGGUUUAAAAAAGUUGCGUGCGGUGUUGAAGGAGGGGGAGAAGUAGGAAGAACAAGUCUCUGGAUAUGCUUAAAGCGUUUACCUCAAAAAGGGCAUGGAUCAGAGUCUCAAACUUCGAGUGGCAGCAAAGACAAAGGAAAAAUAUCCAGCAGAUUUUUAUACUGGUUCACCACUGAGGGCUACGUCCAGUCUUCCAUUCAKACGCCCUUGUGCACCCACCAGGACAGUGCCGCGGCACUGCACUUUCGGCCCCCUGGCCUGCAGCAUCUGCUUUCUCCUGUUUUCAUCCUGCUUCGUUCCCGACGCGUCUCGGCUUGAUCGUGGCUCAUCCCUAGCUCGUUCAUACGUCAUUUUGACUCCACCAAUC